Molecule: unclassified non-coding RNA, 1699 nt
Filed under: Hevea brasiliensis (rubber tree)
Lineage: Eukaryota; Viridiplantae; Streptophyta; Magnoliopsida; Malpighiales; Euphorbiaceae
Source: RNAcentral
CCUGCACUUCCAAAAACUCGGUCAUCAAGAACGAUUCAUAGGAUAGCACUUAACAAACUAAAUUCAGUAAGGGAAGUGCAUAGAAGGUAAUGCAACAUCAUUUUUAGAAACACAGCACAAGAUAAGAUCCAAUUAUAAACACAACACAGCUUUUUAUAAAUAAUAAUAAUAAUAAUGGACUAUAGAAAAUCGUCAUCAGAACCAACAACAAUAAGAACAAGAACUAAAAUGCUAUUUAAUUGUUUAACGUCUUACUAAAACAUAAUACAAAAACAAAAAAUUACUUUCUCCUUUUUCCCAACUUUUACAAGUUGAUCUGCGCCCAACAAAAGCAAUUAAGAAGAAACAUGUACCUAAAAUGGGUUUAGAUAAUAUUUUCAUUUCUAUAUAAUUUUUCCCUUUUCAUUAAGGGUCUACCUCAUGAUGAUGCUUCGGGUCUAGGGCAAACCGUUAUAUUGAUGCAAAUCACCCCACACUUGACCCCCAUUCCAGUUGGCAGCUGCUGUGUUAUCGUUGCAAUUGUUGUUACUAUUGGCUGGGGUUGGAAUCACUUGCCCGAAAGAAUUCCCAAAGAACCACUCCGUCGCUGUAUCACCCCCACUUCCACCUUCUCUUCUUGAAUUACCAACACCACUUGUUUCAGGUUUUGAAAUUUCAAGAUUUUGAAACAAAAUGGGUUGAGGCUUCUGUGCCUGGCUUUCGAUAGGAACUGAAGAAACAAUGCUAUCUUUCUGAUCUUCUCCUCCAAAAAGCAUAACCAAUCUUUGCUGCUGCAAUUUCCAGUGCAAAUCUUGGUUUAUAGAACUCAAAGACUCAAUUGAAGAUGCAAGACUAGUGUGAACACUCAUCGAACUACCACCCACAUCCUGGUGAAUUGCACCGCUAAACCCAGCUGCAACUGAAGAAAGUGGAUAAUUGAAUCCCAUCAAUGAACCAGUGGAGCUCCCAGAUGGAUCAAGGCUGAAACAAGGACUGGUAACACUAACAGCACCUGUAGAGGUGGCAGAAAUAUCCCCAAAUGAAGAGAACUGAUUAUAUAGGCCACCUGGAGAAGGGUUUAGCCUAGGAAAUGAUAAGCCACCUAGAUUAAAAUCCAUGGCUGGAGAAAGACCAUGAAAGAACUUAAAUCCACCGAUCUCUGAGGAUCCGCUGGAGUCCUUGGAAUCACCAGAAAGCCUAGAAGAUGAUUUCAUCUUCUUGUUUUUCCUGCAGCCACCGCCGAUGGGAACGUUGCGUAGGGCUCCUCCUUUAGUCCAGUACCUUCUACAAGUCUUGCAAAAAUGCCUGGGCUGUGUUAGACUAUAAUUGUUGUAGUAGCAGAAUUUUGUGUUGGGCGAGUCGCAUCUUGGACACUUCAUCGCCUGCUCUUGUGGCCUUGUUGAUGCAGUUUUCCGGUUACCGGAGCUUUGGUUCUCUUCUUUGGUGGCUUGCUUUCCCUGAAGAGUAUUCGGGGACAUCAUGGAGACAGAGAGAGAAAGAGAGAGGGGGUGUGGGGGGUUAUGGGUUGUUCAGUUUCUUUUUGCAGAGGCAAAGAUACUCAAUUGAAUGGUUUCAUGCAUGGGGUAGAGAGAUGUGGGAGUGGAUGUUGUUGAUGGGGUCCUGUGAUAUUCAUCAAGAGAGAUUUUGGGGACAAUGGAAAAAUAUGUAUAUAAGCAGCUGGGUUUAGAUGUUAGAUCUGGUGGAAUAAAUAACGCUAAAG